Molecule: ribosomal RNA, 468 nt
Filed under: uncultured bacterium
Lineage: Bacteria
Description: partial 16S ribosomal RNA
Rfam family: Bacterial small subunit ribosomal RNA
Source: RNAcentral
GACGAACGCUGGCGGCGUGCUUAACACAUGCAAGUCGAACGGAAAGGCCCUGCUUUUGUGGGGUGCUCGAGUGGCGAACGGGUGAGUAACACGUGAGUAACCUGCCCUUGACUUUGGGAUAACUUCAGGAAACUGGGGCUAAUACCGGAUAGGAGCUCCUGCUGCAUGGUGGGGGUUGGAAAGUUUCGGCGGUUGGGGAUGGACUCGCGGCUUAUCAGCUUGUUGGUGGGGUAGUGGCUUACCAAGGCUUUGACGGGUAGCCGGCCGGGGAGGGUGACCGGCCACAUUGGGACUGAGAUACGGCCCAGACUCCUACGGUAGGCAGCAGUGGGGAAUAUUGCACAAUGGGCGGAAGCCUGAUGCAGCAACGCCGCGUGCGGGAUGACGGCCUUCGGGUUGUAAACCGCUUUCGCCUGUGACGAAGCGUGAGUGACGGUAAUGGGUAAAGAAGCACCGGCUAACUACGUG